AUGAAAGAAGGCAAGGCGAUGGGCCCUGAUUGUAUACCCAUUGAGGUGUGGAAAGGUCUCGGGGACAUAGCGAUAGUAUGGCUAACCAAGCUUUUCAACCUCAUUUUUCGGGCAAACAAGAUGCCAGAAGAAUGGAGACGGAGUAUAUUAGUACCAAUCUUCAAGAACAAGGGAGAUGUUCAGAGUUGUACUAAUUACCGUGGAAUUAAGCUGAUGAGCCAUACAAUGAAGCUAUGGGAGAGAGUCAUUGAGCACCGCUUAAGAAGAAUGACAAGCGUGACCAAAAAUCAGUUUGGUUUCAUGCCUGGGAGGUCGACCAUGGAAGCCAUUUUCUUGGUACGACAACUUAUGGAGAGAUAUAGGGAGCAUAAGAAGGACUUGCAUAUGGUGUUCAUUGACUUGGAGAAGGCCUAUGAUAAGAUACCGCGGAAUGUCAUGUGGUGGGCCUUGGAGAAACACAAAGUCCCAACAAAGUACAUUACCCUCAUCAAGGACAUGUACAAUAAUGUUGUGACAAGUGUUCGAACAAGUGAUGUCGACACCGAUGACUUCCCGAUUAAGAUAGGACUGCAUCAGGGGUCAGCUUUGAGCCCUUAUCUUUUUGCAUUGGUGAUGGAUGAGGUCACAAGGGGUAUACAAGGAGAUAUCCCAUGGUGUAUGCUCUUUGCAGAUGAUGUGGUGCUAGUUGACGAUAGUCGGACGGGGGUAAAUAGGAAGUUAGAGUUAUGGAGACAAACCUUGGAAUCGAAAGGGUUUAGGCUUAGUAGAACUAAAACCGAGUACAUGAUGUGCGGUUUCAGUACUACUAGCUGUGAGGAGGAGGAGGUUAGCCUUGAUGGCCAGGUGGUACCUCGGAAGGACACCUUUCGGUAUUUGGGGUCAAUGUUGCAGGAGGAUGGGGGUAUUGAUGAAGAUGUGAACCAUCGAAUCAAAGCCGGAUGGAUGAAGUGGCGUCAAGCUUCUGGCAUUCUCUGUGACAAGAGAGUGCCACAAAAGCUAAAAGGCAAGUUCUACAGGACGGCGGUUCGACCCGCAAUGUUGUAUGGCGCGGAGUGUUGGCCGACUAAAAGGCGACAUGUUCAACAGUUAGGUGUGGCGGAGAUGCGUAUGUUGAGAUGGAUGUGUGGCCACACGAGGAAGGAUCGAGUCCGGAAUGAUGAUAUACGAGAUAGAGUUGGGGUAGCACCAAUUGAGGAGAAGCUUGUCCAACAUCGUUUGAGAUGGUUUGGGCAUAUUCAGCGCAGGCCUCCAGAAGCUCCAGUGCAUAGCGGACGGCUAAAGCGUGCGGAGAAUGUCAAGAGAGGGCGGGGUCGACCGAUUUUGACAUGGGAGGAGUCCGUUAAGAGAGACCUAAAGGAUUGGAGUAUCGACAAAGAGCUAGCUAUGGACAGGGGUGCGUGGAAGCUUGCUAUCCAUGUGCCAGAGCCAUGA
This 1431-nucleotide ribosomal RNA is filed under the name Triticum aestivum (bread wheat). RNAcentral's name for it is "partial small subunit ribosomal RNA". The record is from RNAcentral. Lineage: Eukaryota; Viridiplantae; Streptophyta; Magnoliopsida; Poales; Poaceae.